Molecule: long non-coding RNA, 1385 nt
Filed under: Sus scrofa (pig)
Lineage: Eukaryota; Metazoa; Chordata; Mammalia; Artiodactyla; Suidae
Description: lncRNA (ENSSSCG00015041360.1)
Source: RNAcentral
GAAUCACAGAACUUUCUGUAUUUUAGAUCCCAAAGAUGAGCUGUCACUCAUACAAAGUUCCUCACCAGUUAUUUAAUGAGGCAAUAAGUCUAUUCCUGUUUGAAGGCAGGGCGGUGAAUUCUCAUUUUUUAAAAUUCCUUAAGGAAAAAGAAUAUCCUUGAUAUUUUAAAAUUUCUUCUCUAAAUGGAGAAGAAAGUUAAAUAGGAUGAUGUGUGAUGGUAAGAUAGAUGUGUCUCUGAAAAAUUCCUUAGAAAAUUAAAGAGGCACCUUACUGUCAAUCUCACUUUAAUUUUCUUCCAUGACAGCCUGACAGUUCUCAAAUAUAUUUUCAUUGGAGCCCCUGCUGUUUGCAUAUGCGAGUCUCCUCCCUACACUAGAUUCGUCUGGGUGAAGACAACCCGAGCGAGUGCAAAGGAUCAUUUGACAAACAACAAGCGGCAGACUCUUCUUUCGCUCACGUUGACUGCAGUUCAUCCAUCACAUCCACUUUACUUUCCCACUCUGGGUACCACAGAUGCUGUCACAGGGAAAUGAGUCUAAGUAAUUUUAAAAAUUAUGUCUGGAUUACAAGAACGGGUGAUGGAAGUUUAUAGAAAUGUAAGGUGACUGUGGGGAAGUCUAUGGAAUUCCAAAUGCACCAUGAGUUGAGAGUUUAUUUCUUUCCUCUCAUUUUCGUCUGGAAGGAAAUUCUGCAGCUCAGGAAGACCUGACCUACAAGCAAAAGAGCAGGAGACGGCAGCAUAAACAGGAGAAUGUACCCCACCCCCCCAUAAAGAGUCUGGAUUAGGAUUUCUUCCCAACCGCCUCCUGGACAGAGAAAGGCAGAUAGUACAGCAGAGCCAGUGUUUCUCCCCCUCAAUUCAAAUAAAAUUCAGCAGGAUGCAUGUUAAAACUGCUAUCGAGAGAGAUUUUAGCCAGUUUCUAAUGUUACGGCCGGCUGCUCAGAAGUCCCCUCAAGGUCGCAUUUACCUUGAUGAAUCCGCUCAGCCCAAGGUCUGCACUAGGCUGGCAGGUUAAGAAGCCUGCUUCGUCGGAGCACUUAGGAAGUAGCUCUGUCACCUCUCAGAGGCCACCUUGCCUUAAUCAAGUUCAUGGAGCCCAAAUGCCUGUUUAUUAUCGCAUCAUGAGAAGCAAGCAUACAGGAGGCCAAGUUGUUAGAGGGUUUCCCAGCGAGCUUGGAAGCAGAACACCGGAGCGAGAUGAUCUUAAAAAGAAUCUCCCAGCGAAUGGUGCUUUCAGACCUCACCAGCUGCAGGAAGAGUUCCAUCUGUGAGUCCAUAAUGUCAAGGUACCAAAGCCGCCUCCUCCCUGGGUGGCAGAUGGACAUCACAGCAUUGAUUCGGGGAGGGCAGAUUUUCUGUCUCCGCUCUCAGGUCAACGGACAC